UCCGGCGGUGUUGGCGGCGGUGCGUCCCAAAGCAAUGGCGGCGGGUGGAAGUGAUCCGCGGGCUGGCGACGUAGAAGAAGACGCCUCCCAGCUCAUCUUUCCCAAAGAAUUUGAGACGGCUGAAACACUCCUAAACUCUGAAGUUCACAUGCUUCUGGAGCAUCGAAAGCAACAGAAUGAAAGUGCAGAGGAUGAGCAGGAGCUCUCCGAGGUCUUCAUGAAGACCCUAAACUAUACAGCCCGUUUCAGUCGAUUCAAAAACAGAGAGACAAUUGCCAGCGUUCGUAGCUUGCUUCUCCAGAAAAAGCUACAUAAGUUUGAGUUGGCCUGUUUAGCCAAUCUUUGCCCAGAGACUGCUGAAGAGUCCAAAGCUCUCAUUCCAAGCCUGGAAGGUCGUUUUGAAGAUGAGGAACUGCAGCAGAUUCUCGAUGAUAUCCAGACCAAGCGCAGCUUCCAGUACUAAUCGCCAGAUGUUCUCUGCUUUUGAGACGGCUCCAGAACAGUACCAGGUUCCCAAGCCUGUGUCAGCCUCAUGGGACACUGCUGCACAAUCACUGGGGCUUCUCUGUGGUUCUCAAAGUCGUGACAGUUCUGCCUCAGCCUCCCAAGUGCUAGGAUUACAGGUGUGAGGAAAGGCUGGCGUGGCGAUGGUCUAGGUUUCUGUCUCCAUAGUGACUACCAGAUCAGAAUUACUGAGUCUUCUUCUUGCAGCCUUGUAAUGGCUGCUGUGGUCAAGCAUGCUGCAAUCCUGAACCAGUGAGGUAGUGGUUUCUUGGGCUCCAUGUUAUUAUUUUUUUGUUCUUGACAUUUCAAUUAUAUUUUUGAUUGAUACAUAUUUCAAAAAAAAUCAAUAUUUUGUAUUUUUUGAAGCUGUUAUAUUAAAAACUUGUGCAGAGGAAGAAUGUUCUUACCUAGUUGCCAAAGGGAGAGAUAAACCAGAACACUGCCAUUAUUUUAUUUUUUUUAAAGGAUUGUAUUAUUUGUUUAUGAUCCAUGAUGUGUGUGGAGGUCAAAGGAUAACUUGCAGGAGUCAGUUUUGUCUAUUGUGUGGUUUUUCAGGUUUGAAUUCAAGCCGUCAGCCCUGGUGGCAUGUGCCUUUAACCACUGGACCAUCUUUCUGGUCCCUAGUUUAUUUUUAUUUUAUUUAUGGAUUCAUCUUUGCAAUUUAAGAGACCAGAUCCAAAGCCUUGCACAUGCUAGACAAGUGCGGUAACAGUGGGUAACAUUCUAGCUCUGAUUCCUUUUGCUUAUGUCUGUGUGUUAUAUCAUAUGUAUGUACAAGUGCAUGCAUCAGUGUAAGGAGAUUGUCAGAGGACAAUGGAUGUAUGCCCAUAGUUCUGUCCUUUGAGAUGGGUCUCUCUCACAGAAUCUAGAACUAGACUGGAUGACAAAAGCCCCAACAAUCCUGUCUCCAGUCUCUCGUUGUCCUCACCAACACUGGAGUUCCAGGCAUGUACAGGUGCAGCAUGCCAGUCUUCACUAACUUUAGUUCUGAGGAUCCAAAUUCACAUCUCCGUGCUUGCACAGCAAGUCUCUUAUUCACUGAGCCAGUCCCCCAGUCAGCCUGACAUGUUUAAAAGAUGAGAGCACAGUUGACUGAAAGAACUUUGACAUCACUGUACAUAACCUGGAGACAGGAAGGAAGCACACUUGGGAAGCAGUUACCCUUGGGUCCUUAGCCUUGUGGUAGAUGUACUUCAGCUUGGGGGCAAGGGACUGACUUGAAGAAUGUAUAUGUGAAAUGGCCUUGAAGAGUUUAUAUUGUCUCCUUCCAAUCAAAAUCUCUCCUUCAUAGGCCAAAUUUGAAGACUUGAACACUGAGGUCUCCUCAUGAGAUAGUUAAUUCAAACCUCUGGUUUGAUGCUUAGUGACAGGUAGUCUAUUGUCCUAUGUCCACUAUGUGGAAGGAGUGACUGUGCUCCUGUCUCAGUGCUAGAAACCAGGUUCAGUAUGUCUGGUGUCCUCUCAUCUUAAAUCCCAGCACUCUGGAGGGAGGCAGAGGCAGGGAGAUUCCCUGAGUGUGAAGUCAGCCUGGUGUUACACAUGGUGAGAUCCAGGAUAGACAAGCCUACAUAAUGAGACCCUUCCGGGGGGAAAAGUGAGGAAAAGUUAAAAAAAAUUUAGAAAAAAAUGCCUGAAAGGAGAGAGCUCGUGAGCCCUGUGAGCCUCUCUGUUUCUUUCAUAGAGAUCUUAACAGGCCAGAUUUCAUGAAGUCCUGUAAGUGAUCACAGGCUGCUCUGAUUCAAGGUGGUGGUGCUUAUAGCUGGCCUGAAGGAAACAGCCACAGGAUGGGCUUAACAAGCCAGGUGUUUUCCAUGAGUGCUGGGGAGGAUGAGUCCAAGUUGGUCAGAGUGUUCUGUGGAGGUUGGAGGGGUGGAUGAGGAGGCCUGUGGAGUCAAAGAACCUGCUCACAAAAAAAUGCAGAAUGCAGUGGUGGCUACAGAAGAAGAGAGAGCUGGGUCAGCAUGGAACUAUACAGAGAGGAGAUGGAAGACACCAUGUGAGGGAGCAGCCAUGGAGCAGAGCUGUAGAGUGCUUGUCAGCUUAGAAGAAUGAUGCAAACUUGGAGAAGUUAACUCUCUGGAGUUCUGAAAAGAAAUGAGGUCCAGUGGCCAAAAGGGAAGCUAGACAGGAGCAGGAAAGAAUGCAAGGGAGGUAGGCAGGGUGUGUGGCAUAAACAAUAGAUAGAUUGAGCCCUUAUAUGAUGAUGUGAGUAUUACAAGGCUUAUUUACGUAUUCUGGCCACCGGCCGGACUGUCCAUCCAAAGAAUACUUUGUAUUUAGCUGGGUGGAAGUGGCACAGGCCUUUAAUCCCAGCACUCCAGAGGCAGAGGCAGGUGGAUCUCUCAGUUCUGAGGCCAGCCUGGUCUACACAGUGAAUUAGAGGACAGCCAGUGCUAUACAAACCCUGUUUCGAAAAACGAAAAACAAAGCAAAACAACCCAGUAACAAAAACCAAAAUACUUUGUAUUCAGCCAUCAAAUGUUUAUAUAUUUUUUUUUUUUUACAUAGUAAACAUUUUGUGUUACGUAUGUGUGGGUGAGUAGGUAAGAAUGGGGAGGUGAGAGGACAACUACUGGAAAGAGGUUCUCUCCUUCACCACAACUCCUGGGGUAUCUAUCAGGCUUGGUGGCAAGCACCUUUACUUGUUGAGUCAUCUUGUUGGCCCAAAUAUCUGUAUCUUUUAAGUUUGAGCAUAGAAAACACCUUUUGUUUUGUUUUGUUUUUGUUUUUGUUUUUGUUUUGAGACAGGGCCUCACUAUGUAUGUAGCUCUGGCUAUUCUGGAACUUACUGUGUAGACCAGGCUGGCCUUGAGUUUACAGAGAUAGUGCUGGGAUUAUAGACAUAUGCCACAACAGCAUAGGCAGGAUCUCUGAGUUCAAGGCUAGCCUGGUCUACUAAGCUAGCCAGGACAGCCAGGCUGAUUUUUGGGUUUUUUGUUUUGUUUUGUUUGAGAUAAGGUCUCACUCUGUACCCACGCUGGCCUGAAUUAACAGCAAACUGCCUGCUUCCUGAGUGUCACAAUUAUAAGAGAACAUACUUGGCCAAACAUUUCAUGAUGUUUAUGGUGCUGUUACAAUAAUAAGAUCAUUGCCAGAAUGGUGUGAUAGGAGAGUAUGGCAGGAACUCCACAAGGAGAGCAACAGAACCAAUAUCUGGGUACAAGGGUCUUUUUUCAGACUGAUACUCCAACCAAGGACCAUUCAUGGAGAUAACCUAGAACCCCUGCACAGAUGUGGCCCAUGGCAGUUCAGAGCCCAAGUGGGAUCCAUUGUAAUGGGAACAGGGACUGUUUCUGACAUGAAUUCAGUGGCCUGCUCUUUGAUUACCUCCCCCUGAGGGGGGAGCAGCUUUGCCAGGCCACAGAGGAGAACAAUGCAGCCAGUUCUGAAGAGACCGGAUAAGCUAGGGUCAGAUGGAAGGGGAGGAGGACCUCCCUAUCAGUAGACUUGGAGAGGGCCAUGGGAGGAGAUGAGGGAGGGAGGGUGGACUUGAGAGGGGAGGAGGGUGGGGAUACAGCUGGGAUAUAAAGUAAAUAAACUAUAUAAAAAUAAAAAUUACAGGGCACAUACCUGUAAUCCCAGCACUGUGGGAGGCAUAGGCAGGAUCUCUGAGUUCAAGGCUAGCCUGGUCUACUAAGCUAGCCAGGACAGCCAUGUCUUGAAAAACAGAGAAAGAGAGAGAGAAAAUGAAAUAGUCUCCCCUCCCCCCUUUUAAGAUACAUUGUAGGCUUGCCUCUAACUUCUGGUCCUUCUUUCUCUGCUUUUAGACUACUGAGGUUAUGGGUUUGUGCUACCAUUCCUGGCUUUAUGUAGUAUUGGAGUUGAACCCAGGGUCUCUGUCACACUAGAUAAAUGUUUGCCUGCCAUGAAAUAGUCAUUCGUGAAGCUUGUAAUCUCAGUACUUGGGAUGCAGGUGCAAAAGGAUCAGGUGCUCAGGCAUCCUCAGCUACAUAGCAAAUUAAAGACAUGCCUUUAAUCCCAGCACUCGGGAGCAGAGGCAGGUGGAUCUCUGCAUUCAAGCCUAGCCUGGUCUACAAAGUGAGUUCCAGGGCAGCCAGGGCUACACAGAAAACUUGUCUGGAAAAAACCAAAAAUAAAAAAUAAAAUGGCAAGCCUGGGCUACAUGAGACCCUGUCUCAAAAACUAACACCUCCAUCUUCCCACCCAGUGAGAGGAUAAAUAAAAGGAUAAUAUGGUCAGAUAGCCUGGAAAGCUGUUUGGUUCCUUAUCUGAAGCUGUGUAAGAUGACUAAUAAAGGUACAAAGGCCACACUUGGAAAGCAGAGACAGGUGGAUUUCUGUGUGUUCCAGGUGUACCAGGGCUACAAAGUGAAACCCUGCUUUCAAAAGUACCCGCCACUAAAAAUAGUACAAAGGGGAGGUAAUGAUUUGCAUCUGAAAUAGGAGCCCUGUAGGGAUCCUAUGUGUGCCUUGGUUCCUAAUGUAGCAAUGCUCAAAGUAUGAUGACUUCAUAUGCUAUCAAAUGUGAUGAGUACUGAUGAGGGGCAGAACCUAAGUGAAGGGAGUAGGCUAUUGGAGGUAUGCCCUCAGGUGUCAGCCUUGGUUCCUUCCUCUUGCUGUCUUUCUCUUUCGCUGUCUUUGCUUCCUAAACAUGAAUUAAGCAGCUUUUUCCUGCACCUGCUUCUGAAACCAUGAUGUUCUGUUGCAGAGCAGUCAACCGUGGAUUGUAACCUCUGGAACAAGGAUGUGGGGUUGGAGAGAUGGCAGAGUGGCUAAGAGCACUUGCUUGCUCUUCGUGCAAGUACUGGACCUGGAUUAGAUUCCCAGCACUCACAUGGCAACUCAGAGCACCUACAACCUCAGUUCUAGAGAAUCCAGUGCUCUCUUCUGCCCUUCUUAGGCACCAUGCAUGCCAAUUCUUGCAGGCAAAACAGUCAUACACGUAAAAACUUAUUUCAAGAGGUAAGAACAAGGCAUAGUUACAAUCAAAUCAGAGCAGAAUCAACAUCCAACAAUAUAAGUAAAAUCCUGUAGCCCUGACCUCUUCCUGGGAUUCACUUCUAGUCUGGGCUGCAAAGGCCUUGUGAGGCUCCAACUCUACCAUUUUACCUUCCACAGACUACAUAGCUUGUUCUGGCCAAUUCCCUUCCACCACACUUGCUGCCGCUCUUGUUUAUUCCACAGAAUUGGUAUCACUCGUAUGCUGGAAUGUUCACUGCAAUUGAGGUUACCCCUUCACCAGUUGCCUGGGCCCUUCAGUACUGGGCUCCACAUUAAGGAGGCUGCACCCUUACCAAUGGCCUGCCUAUUGCAAGGACUCUACCAUUGCUAUGAUACCAAGUCUUGGCUGCUCUUCCUACACCCUUCAAGCCUUCAUGUCGGAGAUGCUUACAUAUUACCAAGUUCAGCUGCUAGUUUCAGGGGCAGUUUUGGCCCCUCUGAUCCAUCUUGAGUGCCAUGACACACAAACACACACAAUAAAUACUACUUUAAAUUUUAAAAAUAAAGGACUACAGAAAUGGCUCAGUA
This is an RNA transcript of Meriones unguiculatus (Mongolian gerbil), 5993 nucleotides long. It is a transcript of the gene named RNA polymerase II subunit D, with no coding region annotated. The transcript has 5 exons. NCBI's taxonomy places the organism in Eukaryota, Metazoa, Chordata, Mammalia, Rodentia, Muridae. The record is from RefSeq and is a predicted model, not a curated record.